UUAAGCGACUAAGCGUACACGGUGGAUGCCCUGGCAGUCAGAGGCGAUGAAGGACGUGCUAAUCUGCGAUAAGCGUCGGUAAGGUGAUAUGAACCGUUAUAACCGGCGAUUUCCGAAUGGGGAAACCCAGUGUGUUUCGACACACUAUCAUUAACUGAAUCCAUAGGUUAAUGAGGCGAACCGGGGGAACUGAAACAUCUAAGUACCCCGAGGAAAAGAAAUCAACCGAGAUUCCCCCAGUAGCGGCGAGCGAACGGGGAGCAGCCCAGAGCCUGAAUCAGUGUGUGUGUUAGUGGAAGCGUCUGGAAAGGCGCGCGAUACAGGGUGACAGCCCCGUACACAAAAAUGCACAUGCUGUGAGCUCGAUGAGUAGGGCGGGACACGUGGUAUCCUGUCUGAAUAUGGGGGGACCAUCCUCCAAGGCUAAAUACUCCUGACUGACCGAUAGUGAACCAGUACCGUGAGGGAAAGGCGAAAAGAACCCCGGCGAGGGGAGUGAAAAAGAACCUGAAACCGUGUACGUACAAGCAGUGGGAGCACGCUUAGGCGUGUGACUGCGUACCUUUUGUAUAAUGGGUCAGCGACUUAUAUUCUGUAGCAAGGUUAACCGAAUAGGGGAGCCGAAGGGAAACCGAGUCUUAACUGGGCGUUAAGUUGCAGGGUAUAGACCCGAAACCCGGUGAUCUAGCCAUGGGCAGGUUGAAGGUUGGGUAACACUAACUGGAGGACCGAACCGACUAAUGUUGAAAAAUUAGCGGAUGACUUGUGGCUGGGGGUGAAAGGCCAAUCAAACCGGGAGAUAGCUGGUUCUCCCCGAAAGCUAUUUAGGUAGCGCCUCGUGAAUUCAUCUCCGGGGGUAGAGCACUGUUUCGGCAAGGGGGUCAUCCCGACUUACCAACCCGAUGCAAACUGCGAAUACCGGAGAAUGUUAUCACGGGAGACACACGGCGGGUGCUAACGUCCGUCGUGAAGAGGGAAACAACCCAGACCGCCAGCUAAGGUCCCAAAGUCAUGGUUAAGUGGGAAACGAUGUGGGAAGGCCCAGACAGCCAGGAUGUUGGCUUAGAAGCAGCCAUCAUUUAAAGAAAGCGUAAUAGCUCACUGGUCGAGUCGGCCUGCGCGGAAGAUGUAACGGGGCUAAACCAUGCACCGAAGCUGCGGCAGCGACGCUUAUGCGUUGUUGGGUAGGGGAGCGUUCUGUAAGCCUGCGAAGGUGUGCUGUGAGGCAUGCUGGAGGUAUCAGAAGUGCGAAUGCUGACAUAAGUAACGAUAAAGCGGGUGAAAAGCCCGCUCGCCGGAAGACCAAGGGUUCCUGUCCAACGUUAAUCGGGGCAGGGUGAGUCGACCCCUAAGGCGAGGCCGAAAGGCGUAGUCGAUGGGAAACAGGUUAAUAUUCCUGUACUUGGUGUUACUGCGAAGGGGGGACGGAGAAGGCUAUGUUGGCCGGGCGACGGUUGUCCCGGUUUAAGCGUGUAGGCUGGUUUUCCAGGCAAAUCCGGAAAAUCAAGGCUGAGGCGUGAUGACGAGGCACUACGGUGCUGAAGCAACAAAUGCCCUGCUUCCAGGAAAAGCCUCUAAGCAUCAGGUAACAUCAAAUCGUACCCCAAACCGACACAGGUGGUCAGGUAGAGAAUACCAAGGCGCUUGAGAGAACUCGGGUGAAGGAACUAGGCAAAAUGGUGCCGUAACUUCGGGAGAAGGCACGCUGAUAUGUAGGUGAGGUCCCUCGCGGAUGGAGCUGAAAUCAGUCGAAGAUACCAGCUGGCUGCAACUGUUUAUUAAAAACACAGCACUGUGCAAACACGAAAGUGGACGUAUACGGUGUGACGCCUGCCCGGUGCCGGAAGGUUAAUUGAUGGGGUUAGCGGUAACGCGAAGCUCUUGAUCGAAGCCCCGGUAAACGGCGGCCGUAACUAUAACGGUCCUAAGGUAGCGAAAUUCCUUGUCGGGUAAGUUCCGACCUGCACGAAUGGCGUAAUGAUGGCCAGGCUGUCUCCACCCGAGACUCAGUGAAAUUGAACUCGCUGUGAAGAUGCAGUGUACCCGCGGCAAGACGGAAAGACCCCGUGAACCUUUACUAUAGCUUGACACUGAACAUUGAGCCUUGAUGUGUAGGAUAGGUGGGAGGCUUUGAAGUGUGGACGCCAGUCUGCAUGGAGCCGACCUUGAAAUACCACCCUUUAAUGUUUGAUGUUCUAACGUUGACCCGUAAUCCGGGUUGCGGACAGUGUCUGGUGGGUAGUUUGACUGGGGCGGUCUCCUCCUAAAGAGUAACGGAGGAGCACGAAGGUUGGCUAAUCCUGGUCGGACAUCAGGAGGUUAGUGCAAUGGCAUAAGCCAGCUUGACUGCGAGCGUGACGGCGCGAGCAGGUGCGAAAGCAGGUCAUAGUGAUCCGGUGGUUCUGAAUGGAAGGGCCAUCGCUCAACGGAUAAAAGGUACUCCGGGGAUAACAGGCUGAUACCGCCCAAGAGUUCAUAUCGACGGCGGUGUUUGGCACCUCGAUGUCGGCUCAUCACAUCCUGGGGCUGAAGUAGGUCCCAAGGGUAUGGCUGUUCGCCAUUUAAAGUGGUACGCGAGCUGGGUUUAGAACGUCGUGAGACAGUUCGGUCCCUAUCUGCCGUGGGCGCUGGAGAACUGAGGGGGGCUGCUCCUAGUACGAGAGGACCGGAGUGGACGCAUCACUGGUGUUCGGGUUGUCAUGCCAAUGGCACUGCCCGGUAGCUAAAUGCGGAAGAGAUAAGUGCUGAAAGCAUCUAAGCACGAAACUUGCCCCGAGAUGAGUUCUCCCUGACCCUUUAAGGGUCCUGAAGGAACGUUGAAGACGACGACGUUGAUAGGCCGGGUGUGUAAGCGCAGCGAUGCGUUGAGCUAACCGGUACUAAUGAACCGUGAGGCUUAACCUU
RNAcentral lists this ribosomal RNA (2904 nucleotides) under Escherichia coli. RNAcentral describes it as "bacterial LSU rRNA". It matches the Rfam family "Bacterial large subunit ribosomal RNA". Lineage: Bacteria; Pseudomonadati; Pseudomonadota; Gammaproteobacteria; Enterobacterales; Enterobacteriaceae. The record is from RNAcentral.